GACGAACGCUGGCGGCGUGCUUAACACACGCAAGUCGAGCGGGAUCCAACCGGUGGCAACACCGGGAAGAUCUAGCGGCGAACGGGUGAGUAACACGUGAGCAACCUGCCCCGAAGACUGGGAUAACACCGGGAAACCGGUGCUAAUACCGGAUGUCGUCAUUAGGCCGCAUGACCUGAUGAUGAAAGGAUUCAUCGCUUCGGGAGGGGCUCGCGGGCUAUCAGCUUGUUGGGGGGUAACGGCCUACCAAGGCGACGACGGCUAGCUGGUCUGAGAGGACGACCAGCCACACUGGGACUGAGACACGGCCCAGACUCCUACGGGAGGCAGCAGUGGGGAAUCUUGCGCAAUGGGCGAAAGCCUGACGCAGCGACGCCGC
RNAcentral lists this ribosomal RNA (379 nucleotides) under uncultured bacterium. RNAcentral describes it as "bacterial SSU rRNA". It matches the Rfam family "Bacterial small subunit ribosomal RNA", at positions 28 to 400 of the family's 1533-position model. The record is from RNAcentral.